GGACCCGCACAAGUAGUGGAGCAUGUGGUUUAAUUCGAAGAUACGCGCAGAACCUUACCAACACUUGACAUGUUCGUCGCGACUUUAAGAGAUUAAAGUUUUCGGUUCGGCCGGACGAAACACAGGUGCUGCAUGGCUGUCGUCAGCUCGUGUCGUGAGAUGUUGGGUUAAGUCCCGCAACGAGCGCAACCCUCACUUUUAGUUGCCAUCAUUAAGUUGGGCACUCUGAAAGAACUGCCAGUGAUAAGCUGGAGGAAGGUGGGGAUGACGUCAAGUCCUCAUGGCCCUUACGUGUUGGGCUACACACGUGCUACAAUGGUAUCUACAACAGGAAGCAAGACGGCGACGUUAAGCAAAUCCUUAAAAGAUACCUCAGUUCGGAUUGCACUCUGCAACUCGAGUGCAUGAAGCUGGAAUUACUAGUAAUCG
This 429-nucleotide ribosomal RNA is filed under the name uncultured bacterium. RNAcentral describes it as "bacterial SSU rRNA". It matches the Rfam family "Bacterial small subunit ribosomal RNA", at positions 917 to 1344 of the family's 1533-position model. The record is from RNAcentral.